Molecule: ribosomal RNA, 462 nt
Filed under: uncultured bacterium
Lineage: Bacteria
Description: partial 16S ribosomal RNA
Rfam family: Bacterial small subunit ribosomal RNA
Source: RNAcentral
GACGAACGCUGGCGGCGUGCUUAACACAUGCAAGUCGAACGGAAAGGCCCUUCGGGGUACUCGAGUGGCGAACGGGUGAGUAAUACGUGGGUGAUCUGCCCUGCACUUUGGGAUAAGCCUGGGAAACUGGGUCUAAUACCGAAUAGGACCACGCGCUUCAUGGUGUGUGGUGGAAAGCUUUUGCGGUGUGGGAUGGGCCCGCGGCCUAUCAGCUUGUUGGUGGGGUAAUGGCCUACCAAGGCGACGACGGGUAGCCGGCCUGAGAGGGUGACCGGCCACACUGGGACUGAGAUACGGCCCAGACUCCUACGGGAGGCAGCAGUGGGGAAUAUUGCACAAUGGGCGCAAGCCUGAUGCAGCGACGCCGCGUGAGGGAUGACGGCCUUCGGGUUGUAAACCUCUUUCAAUAGGGACGAAGCGCAAGUGACGGUACCUAUAGAAGAAGCACCGGCCAACUACGUG